Molecule: ribosomal RNA, 468 nt
Filed under: uncultured bacterium
Lineage: Bacteria
Description: partial 16S ribosomal RNA
Rfam family: Bacterial small subunit ribosomal RNA
Source: RNAcentral
GACGAACGCUGGCGGCGUGCUUAACACAUGCAAGUCGAACGGAAAGGCCCUGCUUUUGUGGGGUGCUCGAGUGGCGAACGGGUGAGUAACACGUGAGUAACCUGCCCUUGACUUUGGGAUAACUUCAGGAAACUGGGGCUAAUACCGGAUAGGAGCUCCUGCUGCAUGGUGGGGGUUGGAAAGUUUCGGCGGUUGGGGCUGGACUCGCGGCUUAUCAGCUUGUUGGUGGGGUAGUGGCUUACCAAGGCUUUGACGGGUAGCCGGCCUGAGAGGGUGACCGGCCACAUUGGGACUGAGAUACGGCCCAGACUCCUACGGGAGGCAGCAGUGGGGAAUAUUGCGCAAUGGGCGGAAGCCUGAGACAGCAACGCCGCGUGCGGGAUGACGGCCUUCGGGUUGUAAACCGCUUUCGCCUGUGACGAAGCGUGAGUGACGGUAAUGGGUAAAGAAGCACCGGCUAACUACGUG